Molecule: transfer RNA, 71 nt
Filed under: Capitulum mitella
Lineage: Eukaryota; Metazoa; Arthropoda; Thecostraca; Pollicipedomorpha; Pollicipedidae
Description: tRNA-Ser
Rfam family: tRNA
About the family: Transfer RNA (tRNA) molecules are approximately 80 nucleotides in length. Their secondary structure includes four short double-helical elements and three loops (D, anti-codon, and T loops). Further hydrogen bonds mediate the characteristic L-shaped molecular structure. tRNAs have two regions of fundamental functional importance: the anti-codon, which is responsible for specific mRNA codon recognition, and the 3' end, to which the tRNAs corresponding amino acid is attached (by aminoacyl-tRNA synthetases). tRNAs cope with the degeneracy of the genetic code in two manners: having more than one tRNA (with a specific anti-codon) for a particular amino acid; and 'wobble' base-pairing, i.e. permitting non-standard base-pairing at the 3rd anti-codon position.
Source: RNAcentral
UAGCUGUUUGGCUGACAGGAAAGCGGAUGUUUUGAAAACAUCUUAUACAGGUUCGAAUCCUAUAACAGUUU